Long non-coding RNA from Brassica napus (rape), 777 nucleotides. RefSeq lists it as uncharacterized. The transcript has 2 exons. Lineage: Eukaryota; Viridiplantae; Streptophyta; Magnoliopsida; Brassicales; Brassicaceae. The record is from RefSeq and is a predicted model, not a curated record.
AAUCAUUUUUUUUCUAAUUUAUUUCUCUGUCUCAGAUUUUCUUCUUUCCUUUCAAUUUUGUUCUUCUUUCCUUACGCCAUCACCAUCUUCAUCUUCUUCAUUUCAGUGUCUCCUCGCAUCUCUCUUUCUUAUUCUCUAAACCACCACCACCACAUCUCUUCUUAGUCUUACUCUUCUUCAUAUGGCGGUUGACUCCGAGGAAGGACGAAUGAGAAGAGAAGAUAACAUGGUCGAGAUCUGGAAAUCCAAGAGUAAGAGAGCUUUUGCUCAAGAAGCGGCGUGAAGGUCUUCAAUCCACACAGAAACUUCAAUACGUUUCUUCUCCAUUGCUUCUGAUUCAUCCAUCGAGAAUAAGUUGGAGAGCUUGCUGUCUAUAGUUGGUGGAGUAUGGUCUGAGAAUAGAACCUUGAAGAUUGAGACAAAGGUGUGGCAGAGAGGAUAGAUAAGCCGGAGACGAAUUUGACGGUUGUGUAUGUGACGAUCUUAACAGUGGUGAGCCGAAGACGAGCUCAACGACAGUGAGUGGGAAGAGUCGUGGUGAUUCCGUCGCCGUCUCCGGCGUGGAAGGAAAGAAGAAAGAGACACGAGGACUUGGUCUUCACAGCAAAUGGUGGUUGACGGCGGCGGAGUUAAGAAGCUUGAAGGCGGCAUGGUUUUGUUAUUAAGUUUAGUUAGCAAAUAGGUUUAGGUUCAAGCUUUGUUUACUUUUGGUUUAUUUUUUUACAUGUAAACCAGUUUUAGUUUAUUAAUAAUUCAAUUAAAAAAUUUAAAAAUAUC